CAGUAGCCGCGGUAAUACGAAGGGUGCAAGCGUUAAUCGGAAUUACUUGGCGUAAAGCGUGCGUAGGCGGUGAGUUAAGUCUGCUGUGAAAUCCCCGGGCUCAACCUGGGAAUGGCAGUGGAUACUGGCUCGCUAGAGUGUGUCAGAGGAUGGUGGAAUUCCCGGUGUAGCGGUGAAAUGCGUAGAGAUCGGGAGGAACAUCAGUGGCGAAGGCGGCCAUCUGGGACAACACUGACGCUGAGGCACGAAAGCGUGGGGAGCAAACAGGAUUAGAUACCCGAGUAGUCCCUGUCUCUUAUAC
RNAcentral lists this ribosomal RNA (301 nucleotides) under uncultured bacterium. RNAcentral's name for it is "partial 16S ribosomal RNA". It matches the Rfam family "Bacterial small subunit ribosomal RNA", at positions 509 to 807 of the family's 1533-position model. The record is from RNAcentral.